UGUCCUACGGGGGGCAGCAGUGGGGAAUAUUGCACAAUGGGGGAAACCCUGAUGCAGCGACGCCGCGUGAGUGAAGAAGUAUUUCGGUAUGUAAAGCUCUAUCAGCAGGGAAGAAAAAAGACGGUACCUGACUAAGAAGCCCCGGCUAACUACGUGCCAGCAGCCGCGGUAAUACGUAGGGGGCAAGCGUUAUCCGGAUUUACUGGGUGUAAAGGGAGCGUAGACGGCGCGGCAAGUAUGAAGUGACAGGCAGGGGCUU
This 259-nucleotide ribosomal RNA is filed under the name uncultured bacterium. Its description in RNAcentral is "partial 16S ribosomal RNA". It matches the Rfam family "Bacterial small subunit ribosomal RNA", at positions 335 to 610 of the family's 1533-position model. The record is from RNAcentral.